CUUGAGGGAGCCCAGCCACAGCGGGCGGGCGGUGUCCCGGUCCCGGCCGUAGGUGUCCUGGAGGGCCUUCAGCUC
This 75-nucleotide antisense RNA is filed under the name Streptomyces sp. H-KF8. RNAcentral describes it as "ASpks TB sRNA". It matches the Rfam family "ASpks TB sRNA". Lineage: Bacteria; Bacillati; Actinomycetota; Actinomycetes; Kitasatosporales; Streptomycetaceae. The record is from Rfam by way of RNAcentral.